AAUUUUUUAAACAUGAUAAUUGUGUCUUACCAUGGACAUUAUUUAUUUGCUAAAUUAGUCAAUAUAAUAUUUCAAGGUCUGGCGUUCAAAGUUUUAAACCUGAUAUCUAUAAAGAACUUAUUUGUAAUAUUUAUUGUUGCAAAUAAAAACGUACCUUAGUAUCGAAAAGUGAAAUAAGAAAAAAAAAACGAACUCCAAGGAAAAUUCAAAUCGCAAAGUCUCUCAUCAAAUAGCAAAAUCGAAAGCUCAAACACAUCAAACACAUCAAACGAAUGGAAAACAAUUGUCAUAUUCCUGACUUGGUACAGGCAUUUUCCUUUAUAGAAAACGUGGAUUAAAUCUGGUUUUGUAGCUAGCUAUACCUCUCACUUGCAUGACAGUAGCACAAAGUUCCAUUAUAUUGACAUUAAUGUGUAAACAAAACAAACCGGUAUGAUAGAUAACAUUGUCAAAAAUAGAGAUACAGCGAUCAACAUUGUAUUAUAAUCUUAAUCACAAUGAAAACAAACAAAUAUUUCAACAAAAGCACAUAAGCACAAAUUGAAUAUCAAAAAUUAGUAUAUGUGCUUUUAAUACAGAGCGAAGACCCGGAUGAGUCCAACAAAAUAACAUUAUCAUAAACAUAAAUAGUGUCAGUCAUGCAAUAUUAUUUAGUUAAACAGUAUUGAUAAGAUGUAUAGUAGGUAAUAAGUAUUUCUAACAGGAUUACUUUAUUUAUAAGUGCAUGUUUGUGAACGGUUUUUGGAAAAAAUAGCAAUAAGCGGAAU
Molecule: long non-coding RNA, 767 nt
Filed under: Mytilus galloprovincialis (Mediterranean mussel)
Lineage: Eukaryota; Metazoa; Mollusca; Bivalvia; Mytilida; Mytilidae
Source: RNAcentral